UCUACAACCAGGACCACGAGCGCCUC
This 26-nucleotide non-coding RNA is filed under the name Homo sapiens (human). RNAcentral also lists the same sequence under 1 other name. The record is from RNAcentral. Lineage: Eukaryota; Metazoa; Chordata; Mammalia; Primates; Hominidae.